GAAAUGCGAUAAGUAAUGUGAAUUGCAGAAUUCAGUGAAUCAUCGAAUCUUUGAACGCACAUUGCGCCCUCUGGUAUUCCGGGGGGCAUGCCUGUCCGAGCGUCAUUGCGAACCCCUCAAGCACGGCUUGUGUGAUGGGCCCUCCCGCGUCUUGGUCGUUAAGACGGGCCCGAAAAGCAGUGGCGGCUUCGCGGUUAUCCGAUCAGCCAGAGCGUAUGGGGACUUUCUCUCUGUCACACGCCCGCGGCGCGGACCGACGCCUGUCGACCUUUAUUCAUCUUUUUCUCGGUUGACCUCGGAUCAGGUAGGGAUACCCGCUGAACUUAAGC
Molecule: unclassified non-coding RNA, 329 nt
Filed under: plant metagenome
Description: partial contains 5.8S ribosomal RNA, internal transcribed spacer 2, and large subunit ribosomal RNA
Rfam family: 5.8S ribosomal RNA (bases 1-105)
Source: RNAcentral